This 950-nucleotide long non-coding RNA is filed under the name Zostera marina. Its description in RNAcentral is "long non-coding RNA (ZMAR_LNC000800)". Lineage: Eukaryota; Viridiplantae; Streptophyta; Magnoliopsida; Alismatales; Zosteraceae. The record is from RNAcentral.
UUAGAUUUUUUUGUUGUAAAACCUCUGUUUCUUGUAGUGUAUGUAUGAUCAGUACAUAUGACGAUGUAUAUUAAUAUAUGUGUGUGUAGGCAAAGCGGCGCAACAAGUGAAGGUCCCUGUGCCAGAAGGAUGCACUGAUCCUUCAGCAGCAAACUAUGAUCCCACUGCAAGGAGUGAUGAUGGAAGCUGUCAAUACCAGUUGGAGUGAUGAUGGCAAGUAAUCAUAUCUAUCACCAUCGCUAUCACCAUCACCAUCGUCAACAUAAUGGACUUCUUCCCUGCUUAAUAUGUAACUAUUUAUGUGUGUAUUCACCCCUUUGAAUUUAUCUGUAUAUGCACCAUUUGUAACAUUUACUGAAUUGCAAGUUUCAUGCAAUAUAUAAUUGUAUAUCUACCUUGAGUAGUUUCCUCUCGUUAUCUCCCUACCUCCGGGGAUCGUCGGAUUGAAUACAAAUCUCAUCUUCCUAUCAUCUUUAAAGAAAGAAAGAAAGAAAGAAAAAAUUAUACUUGGUCAAUGUAAUUGCAAAGAAUCACAGUGGCACAUACCCACCCUAGUUGCAUUUGAUCAUUUUUCCCCAGCUCAUAUCAAAUUUACCUAAAUAAUCGGGUAUAACACAAAGAUUUUACCUUUCUACACUGUUAAGUCCAGAAGAAUUCAGGUCUAUAUCAUCUACAAGCUUUUCUUCUACACUGCAAGUCUCAUUAUGUGCUUCACUACUUACCAACUUUGAAUUCAUCUCGCAGUAUAUGGCCUGAGAGUUUUAAUUUUGUACACUGUUUGGUGAGGGAGAAAUUUUCUGGUGUUGAACAAAACACAGCACAUGUGGUCACCCUUUGUCCACGUUAGUCAUCAUACCAGAAGCCAAAAGUGAUCGAAAUAGAUAAGGCAAUGACUGGUCUCUCUUAAUUCAUAAAAACAGAGAGAGGUUGUGGGAGAGAACAGUAGAGAC